This is a long non-coding RNA of Falco peregrinus (peregrine falcon), 1848 nucleotides long. RefSeq lists it as uncharacterized. The record is from RefSeq and is a predicted model, not a curated record. The transcript is spliced from 2 exons. NCBI's taxonomy places the organism in Eukaryota, Metazoa, Chordata, Aves, Falconiformes, Falconidae.
GCCGGGGGUCCCGCCGCCCCCACCGCGGGGGGCACUGCCCACGGCCCGCCCCGCCCGGGGGGUCUCGCCGCGGGGGGCUGUUGGGCGCCGGGGGCAGCGCAGCCGCGGGGUGGGCGCUGUUCCCCCCCGAAGCGGGGCUGGGGGGGGGGGCUGCCGGCGCCGGGGCUCUGCCCCCCCGCUCUGCCGUGAGCUGCCCCUUGAUUUAACGGAGAGCAGAGGUGGAUUUAUCUCUGCCCCCCCGCCCCCCCGGGAGGAGCCGGUGGGUUCUGAGCGCGGGGGGGCGCGGGGCCGCCCCGGCCGGGCACGGCUCCAGCCCGGCGCAGAGGGCGGCGCGGGUUAAGCAUUAACCCACCCCGAGCUCCCCUGGAAACCGGCUAAAGGACCGACUAAACCAGGAAAAUGUGAGGAGGGGGACGCGCAGCGCUCCCUCUGGGCUGGGCUGCGUGUCACGCCUCCUGUGGGGCGGCAGGAAGGGGCUGCAGAGCUGGGGGCAGCCGGGCUCCUGCUGCCCCCCUUGGUGUGGGCGCAGCCCCCCGCUGCUGGGCCUUCUCAAAGGCUCCUUAUCGCGGGCUUGAGCCGCGCUUUGCUCUGCCUCCUGGAGCGAUGUUCACGUUAAAAGAGCGUGUUAUUUAUAGGGGGAAAAUAUGGAAAGUUUAGCUGUCCCCUGACUCCGUAACGCUCACAGCUUUCCGGCCGGUGGAAGUUUUGUUUCCUUUUUAUUCUCUCCCUCUCUCAUCUUGCGUGGGCUUUUGCCAAAUGUUUUAUUAUUCACAGUGAAUUAUUUGGCCAGAUGUAGCUGUAAUACGUAUUGUGAGCUUUUGGCAGCCCUUUUAAAUUUAUGAGUGCAUUCUCCCUACUUGUCAACUGGUCAGAUUUCCAGGGAAGUUCCUCUCCCCACUAUGCCGAGCCCUCCCUGGGGUGGUGGGGCGCUGGGACAGGGGCUUCACUCCUGUCCGACCCACCCGGCGCCAUGCUCAGGCUGAGCAUCUCCCCCAGCCCACUGCAGGUGCGUGGGUCGAGCCGGAGAGUUGCUUGGAUGUGCUUUGAAACAUCCCUGCGCGAUGGAAGGCCAUCCCUGCGGAGACCAGGAGAACUCGCUGCACCUCGGAGGGUUGUGCUAAGCUCAGCCCUGUGCAGGGAUGCAAGACCUCCCGGCCUGUGGGGAUGGAGGGGGUGUCCAGGUGUGCAGGAGGUGGCCGUGGGGUGCAGUUUAACCCCAUUCGUGUUCCUGCCGCACCGGGUCUGUUCGUGGCACCGGUGUGAGUGUCCCAGCGGGCUGCAAACUGGGGGAAACCAUAUUCUAGUGAAGGGCACCAAGCACGCAUUAAGCGCAGAUAAUCUUCCAGUUAAUUAAGCAAAUCAUUUGAAGCUGCCAUUUCAAGGCAAGAGGAAUAACAACUUAAGGGGGGCCGUGGGAGGCUUGUAUCCACCCCUCUUUAAUUAAAGGAGCUAGCGACUGUCACAGCCAUUUCUGCCACAGCCAGUGCCAGGGAGAGGCCUGACUGAACCCUGUUUCGCAUGAUUCCGCCUCGCCUGUGGCAUAUUGAGACACGCAGGUACUUUUUCUUUUCUAUUUUCUUUGUCUCUGAGGGCACUGAUGAGGAACUAUGCGCUGCAGUACAGAAAAUCAGUAAGGAGAGGUAAACAGCGUUGAACUCUUCAACUGUUGCUGCAGCACGUGUGAAAGCUCGGUGCAAUUGCAUUAGGGCACCUCGCUGCUUGAUUUCCUGUCUGGCAUCGCUGGAGGGAUCGGGCUCAGAAUAUCCUUGGUGACCAGGGUGGAGUCUGCAGCCUCUUUCUCUCUGAAAUGAUCAUGAUCAAAUAAAUUGCCUGUUGCCACCUGUGAAA